AUUGAACGCUGGCGGCAUGCCUUACACAUGCAAGUCGAACGGUAACAGGUCUUCGGAUGCUGACGAGUGGCGAACGGGUGAGUAAUACAUCGGAACGUGCCUAGUAGUGGGGGAUAACUACCCGAAAGAGUGGCUAAUACCGCAUGAGAUCUACGGAUGAAAGCAGGGGAUCGCAAGACCUUGUGCUACUAGAGCGGCCGAUGGCAGAUUAGGUAGUUGGUGGGAUAAAAGCUUACCAAGCCGACGAUCUGUAGCUGGUCUGAGAGGACGAUCAGCCACACUGGGACUGAGACACGGCCCAGACUCCUACGGGAGGCAGCAGUGGGGAAUUUUGGACAAUGGGCGAAAGCCUGAUCCAGCAAUGCCGCGUGCAGGAUGAAGGCCUUCGGGUUGUAAACUGCUUUUGUACGGAACGCAAAGCCCUGGGUUAAUACCCUGGGGUCAUGACGGUACCGUAAGAAUAAGCACCGGCUAACUACGUGCCAGCCGCCGCAGUAA
RNAcentral lists this ribosomal RNA (498 nucleotides) under uncultured bacterium. Its description in RNAcentral is "partial 16S ribosomal RNA". It matches the Rfam family "Bacterial small subunit ribosomal RNA", at positions 30 to 523 of the family's 1533-position model. The record is from RNAcentral.